Molecule: ribosomal RNA, 3268 nt
Filed under: Candidatus Eiseniibacteriota bacterium
Lineage: Bacteria; Candidatus Eiseniibacteriota
Description: Candidatus Eisenbacteria bacterium 23S ribosomal RNA
Rfam family: Bacterial large subunit ribosomal RNA
Source: RNAcentral
AAUUGUUCGGUCAAGCUACUAAGAGCACAUGGUGGAUGCCUUGGCGUCAGAAGGCGAUGAAGGACGUGAUAAGCUGCGAUAAGCUGCGGAGAGCCGCAAAUAGGCCGAGACCCGCAGAUUUCCGAAUGGGGAAACCCGGCAGGGCUCAUACCCUGUCCGCCACGAGAUGAAUCCAUAGUUUCGUGGUAGCCAACGGGGGGAAGUGAAACAUCUCAGUACCCCCAGGAAGAGAAAGCAAUCGCGAUUCCCUCAGUAGCGGCGAGCGAACGGGGAACAGCCUAAACCGAGCGGCGCGUUCAAGCCUGCCAGCGUUGCGUCGCCGGUGUCGCGGGGCGAGCUUUGACUCUGGGCAGCAGAGUCGGGAAGUCAAAAACCAACAUGCUAGUCGAACAGCCUGGGAAGGCUGACCAUAGGCGGUGAAAGUCCGGUAGACGAAAGUGUGUUGGCUUCCUCGAGCUCGUUCCCAAGUACCGCGGGACACGUGAAAUCUUGCGGGAAUCCGGGGAGACCACUCUCCAAGGCUAAAUACUCUCUGACGACCGAUAGUGAACCAGUACCGUGAGGGAAAGGUGAAAAGGACUCCUGGCGGAGAGUGAAAUAGAACCUGAAACCAUGUGCUUACAAGCGGUCGGAGGCUUAACCGGGAUCUUCGGAUCCCGGAGCGGCUGACGGCGUGCCUUUUGCAUAAUGAUCCGGCGAGUUACUCGUGCGUGGCAAGGUUAAGCGUCUCAGACGCGGAGCCGAAGCGAAAGCGAGUCCGAAGUGGGCGACCAGUCGCGGUUCUCCCCGAAAUGGAUUUAGGUCUAGCCUCGCGUAAUUGUGUGGCGGGGGUAAAGCACUGAUUGGGCUAGGGACCCUACCAGGUUACCAAACCCUUUCAAACUCUGAAUACCGUUCACAUGUAUCGCGGGAGUAAGGGCGCGAGGGAUAAGCUUCGCGACCGAGAGGGGAACAACCCAGACCGUCAGCUAAGGUCCCAGAGUGUGAGCUAAGUGUAUAAGGAUGUGGGAUCUCACAGACAACCAGGAUGUUGGCUUAGAAGCAGCCAUCAUUUAAAGAGUGCGUAAUAGCUCACUGGUCAAGUAAUCCCGCGCCGAUAAUGUCCGGGACUAAAGUUCACCACCGAAGCUGCGGAUGCGCGGCGCUUUCGAGCGUCGUGCGUGGUAGGGGAGCGUUCUGUUGUAGGAUGAAGCCGAGCCGUAAGGCAAGGUCGACGAACCAGAAGUGAUUAUGCCGGAACGAGUAGCGAGAAACCAGGCGAGAAACCUGGUCACCGAAAACCUAAGGUUUCCUGAGGAAGGUUAAUCCGCUCAGGGUUAGUCGGACCCUUAGCCGAGGCCGAGAGGCGUAGGCGAUGGAAAACAGGUCAACAUUCCUGUACCAGUGCAUUGGCGAUCAAGACGCCAGGGGGUUACGCAGAAGUGAAAGACCAGCCCACCAUUGGACGUGUGGGUCUAAGCCAGUAGGAGGAUCCCGCAGGCAAAUCCGCGGGGUCAUUACUCCGAGAGGUGAUGGGGAAACGAGCCGAAAGGCGAGCCAACUGGUCCUAAUCAGGCUAGAAGGAACUCGGCAAAAUAGCCCCGUAACUUCGGAAGAAGGGGUACCUCUAGUAAGUGAAGCACUUCGCGUGUGGAGCUGAACGAGGCCGCAGUGAAUGGAGUCAAGCGACUGUUUACCAAAAACACAUGUCUCUGCUAAGCCGAAGAGGCGACGUAUAGGGACUGACACCUGCCCGGUGCCGGAAGGUUAAAGGGCGUGGUCAGGCGCAAGCCGAAGCCACAAACUGAAGCCCCGGUAAACGGCGGCCGUAACUAUAGACUCGGACCACUGUAGUUAAAAAAUCUGGCCAUAUGCUGGAACACCCGGUGGAUCCGGCGCUACUCGUCGCGCGAUCAGCGCGGCAGUGAAAAUGCGACCGGUGCGGGCAAUCAGCAGGAAAGGCUCGAACGACCAAAGACAGCGUUCGAGAAUCCUCAGAGACUACACGCCAGACGCGAUCUCUCGGAUCGCGAUGAUAUAGUCCGGUCUUCGUGGCGACACGAAGAGCGCGGCAGAAAUGUCCGCGCCCUCGAGAGAUUUCUCGAGGUAACAGAGACGAACGGUCCUAAGGUAGCGAAAUUCCUUGUCGGGUAGGCAAAACUGCCCGGAGUGCGAGCGAUCGCACUCAUCCAUCCGGCUCAAAUCGGUGGAGCCCUCACGAUGCCGUGCAGGCGUCGCGGGUCAUACCGAGGGUAAGAUCGCGGUCACGCGAUCCCCGUAACGACUCAGGGAGUGAGAUCCCUGGAUGGAGCACUCAGCUCCAUAAAACGCCGGCCCUGCCCUUCGCUAGAAAACACGCGAAUGGAAAAUUCCGAGAACGAUGCGCUCAGCUCGUUCUGGACAGGUGAACGUAUAGUCUAUGCCGCGAGUAAUCGCGGGCGAACAUGAAGUUCCGACCUGCACGAAUGGUGUAACGACUUGACUGCUGUCUCCUGCAAGAGCUCGGCGAAACUGUAGCAGCGGUGAAGAUGCCGCUUACCCGCGACUGGACAGAAAGACCCCGUGCACCUUUACUGUACCCUGGUAUUGGGUUUUGACACCGCAUGUGUAGGAUAGGUGGGAGGCUAUGAAGCGGGAGCGCUAGCUCUCGUGGAGCCAACCUUGAAAUACCACCCUUGUGAUGUCGGAAUUCUUGGUAAUCGCGCGUGGAGUGCAUUGGCAUAAGGGAGCUUGACUGCGAGACCUACAAGUCGAGCAGGUGCGAAAGCAGGCCAAAGUGAUCCGGUGGUUCUGUGUGGAAGGGCCAUCGCUCAACGGAUAAAAGGUACGCCGGGGAUAACAGGCUGAUCCCGCCCGAGAGUUCACAUCGACGGCGGGGUUUGGCACCUCGAUGUCGGCUCAUCGCAUCCUGGGGCUGGAGAAGGUCCCAAGGGUUCGGCUGUUCGCCGAUUAAAGCGGUACGUGAGCUGGGUUCAGAACGUCGUGAGACAGUUCGGUCCCUAUCCAUCGCGGGCGCAGGAUAUUUGAGGGGAGCUGACCUUAGUACGAGAGGACCGGGUCGGACGGACCUCUAGUGUACCGGUUAUCGUGCCAACGGUAUUGCCGGGUAGCUAUGUCCGGAUGAGAUAAGCGCUGAAAGCAUCUAAGCGCGAAACUCGCCCCAAGAUUAGAUAUCCCCCAGCAUAAGCUGGCUAAAGGACCCUCGGAGAUGACGAGGUUGAUAGGCCGGAGGUGUAAGCGCGGUGACGCGUUCAGCCGACCGGUACUAAUCGUCCGUGAGGCUUGAUCG